This 762-nucleotide ribosomal RNA is filed under the name uncultured Bacteroidales bacterium. RNAcentral describes it as "bacterial SSU rRNA". It matches the Rfam family "Bacterial small subunit ribosomal RNA", at positions 24 to 776 of the family's 1533-position model. The record is from RNAcentral. Lineage: Bacteria; Pseudomonadati; Bacteroidota; Bacteroidia; Bacteroidales.
UCAGGAUGAACGCUAGCUACAGGCUUAACACAUGCAAGUCGAGGGGCAUCAGGAAGAAAGCUUGCUUUCUUUGCUGGCGACCGGCGCACGGGUGAGUAACACGUAUCCAACCUGCCCUUUACUCGGGGAUAGCCUUUCGAAAGAAAGAUUAAUACCCGAUAGCAUAAUGAUUCCGCAUGGUUUCAUUAUUAAAGGAUUCCGGUAAAGGAUGGGGAUGCGUUCCAUUAGGUUGUUGGUGAGGUAACGGCUCACCAAGCCUUCGAUGGAUAGGGGUUCUGAGAGGAAGGUCCCCCACAUUGGAACUGAGACACGGUCCAAACUCCUACGGGAGGCAGCAGUGAGGAAUAUUGGUCAAUGGGCGUUAGCCUGAACCAGCCAAGUAGCGUGAAGGAUGAAGGCUCUAUGGGUCGUAAACUUCUUUUAUAUAAGAAUAAAGUGCAGUAUGUAUACUGUUUUGUAUGUAUUAUAUGAAUAAGGAUCGGCUAACUCCGUGCCAGCAGCCGCGGUAAUACGGAGGAUCCGAGCGUUAUCCGGAUUUAUUGGGUUUAAAGGGAGCGUAGGUGGACUGGUAAGUCAGUUGUGAAAGUUUGCGGCUCAACCGUAAAAUUGCAGUUGAUACUGUCAGUCUUGAGUACAGUAGAGGUGGGCGGAAUUCGUGGUGUAGCGGUGAAAUGCUUAGAUAUCACGAAGAACUCCGAUUGCGAAGGCAGCUCACUGGACUGCAACUGACACUGAUGCUCGAAAGUGUGGGUAUCAAACAGG